Molecule: ribosomal RNA, 510 nt
Filed under: uncultured bacterium
Lineage: Bacteria
Description: bacterial SSU rRNA
Rfam family: Bacterial small subunit ribosomal RNA
Source: RNAcentral
UUAUGGCUCAGGACGAACGCUGGCGGCGUGCUUAACACAUGCAAGUCGAGCGAUGAAGCUUCUCGGAAGUGGAUAGCGGCGGACGGGUGAGUAACACGUGGGUAACCUGCCUCAUAGAGGGGAAUAGCCUUCCGAAAGGAAGAUUAAUACCGCAUAAGAUUGUAAUAUCGCAUGAUAUAGACAAUUAAAGGAGCAAUCCGCUAUGAGAUGGACCCGCGUCGCAUUAGCUAGUUGGUGAGGUAACGGCUCACCAAGGCGACGAUGCGUAGCCGACCUGAGAGGGUGAUCGGCCACAUUGGGACUGAGACACGGCCCAAACUCCUACGGGAGGCAGCAGUAGGGAAUCUUCCGCAAUGGACGAAAGUCUGACGGAGCAACGCCGCGUGAGUGAAAAGAAGGUUUUCGGAUCGUAAAACUCUGUUGUCAGAGAAGAACAAGUUGGAGAGUAACUGCUCCAGCCUUGACGGUAUCUGACCAGAAAGCCACGGCUAACUACGUGCCAGCCGCCGC